RNAcentral lists this ribosomal RNA (253 nucleotides) under uncultured bacterium. Its description in RNAcentral is "partial 16S ribosomal RNA". It matches the Rfam family "Bacterial small subunit ribosomal RNA", at positions 524 to 776 of the family's 1533-position model. The record is from RNAcentral.
UACGAAGGGGGCUAGCGUUGCUCGGAAUCACUGGGCGUAAAGCGCACGUAGGCGGCUUCUUAAGUCGGGGGUGAAAUCCUGGAGCUCAACUCCAGAACUGCCUUCGAUACUGGCGAUCUUGAGUCCGGAAGGGGUGAGUGGAACUCCUAGUGUAGAGGUGGAAUUCGUAGAUAUUAGGAAGAACACCAGUGGCGAAGGCGGCUCACUGGUCCGGUACUGACGCUGAGGUGCGAAAGCGUGGGGAGCAAACAGG